GGUUAAGCGACUAAGCGUACACGGUGGAUGCCCUGGCAGUCAGAGGCGAUGAAGGACGUGCUAAUCUGCGAAAAGCGCCGGCGAGGUGAUAUGAACCCUUGACCCGGCGAUGUCCGAAUGGGGAAACCCAGUGCAAUCCGUUGCACUAUCGUUAACUGAAUACAUAGGUUAACGAGGCGAACCGGGGGAACUGAAACAUCUAAGUACCCCGAGGAAAAGAAAUCAACCGAGAUUCCCCCAGUAGCGGCGAGCGAACGGGGAGCAGCCCAGAGUCUGAAUCAGCUUGUGUGUUAGUGGAAGCGUCUGGAAAGUCGCACGGUACAGGGUGAUAGUCCCGUACACGAAAGCACACAGGCUGUGAACUCGAAGAGUAGGGCGGGACACGUGGUAUCCUGUCUGAAUAUGGGGGGACCAUCCUCCAAGGCUAAAUACUCCUGACUGACCGAUAGUGAACCAGUACCGUGAGGGAAAGGCGAAAAGAACCCCGGCGAGGGGAGUGAAAAAGAACCUGAAACCGUGUACGUACAAGCAGUGGGAGCACCUUCGGGUGUGACUGCGUACCUUUUGUAUAAUGGGUCAGCGACUUAUAUUCUGUAGCAAGGUUAACCGUAUAGGGGAGCCGAAGGGAAACCGAGUCUUAACUGGGCGUUAAGUUGCAGGGUAUAGACCCGAAACCCGGUGAUCUAGCCAUGGGCAGGUUGAAGGUUGGGUAACACUAACUGGAGGACCGAACCGACUAAUGUUGAAAAAUUAGCGGAUGACCUGUGGCUGGGGGUGAAAGGCCAAUCAAACCGGGAGAUAGCUGGUUCUCCCCGAAAGCUAUUUAGGUAGCGCCUCGUGAACUCAUCUUCGGGGGUAGAGCACUGUUUCGGCUAGGGGGCCAUCCCGGCUUACCAACCCGAUGCAAACUACGAAUACCGAAGAAUGUUAUCACGGGAGACACACGGCGGGUGCUAACGUCCGUCGUGAAGAGGGAAACAACCCAGACCGCCAGCUAAGGUCCCAAAGUCAUGGUUAAGUGGGAAACGAUGUGGGAAGGCCCAGACAGCCAGGAUGUUGGCUUAGAAGCAGCCAUCAUUUAAAGAAAGCGUAAUAGCUCACUGGUCGAGUCGGCCUGCGCGGAAGAUGUAACGGGGCUAAACCAUGCACCGAAGCUGCGGCAGCGACACUCUGUGUUGUUGGGUAGGGGAGCGUUCUGUAAGCCGUUGAAGGUGGCCUGUGAGGGUUGCUGGAGGUAUCAGAAGUGCGAAUGCUGACAUAAGUAACGAUAAAGCGGGUGAAAAGCCCGCUCGCCGGAAGACCAAGGGUUCCUGUCCAACGUUAAUCGGGGCAGGGUGAGUCGACCCCUAAGGCGAGGCCGAAAGGCGUAGUCGAUGGGAAACAGGUUAAUAUUCCUGUACUUGGUGUUACUGCGAAGGGGGGACGGAGAAGGCUAUGUUAGCCGGGCGACGGUUGUCCCGGUUUAAGCAUGUAGGCGGAGGUUCCAGGUAAAUCCGGUACCUUUUAACGCUGAGGUGUGAUGACGAGGCACUACGGUGCUGAAGUAACAAAUGCCCUGCUUCCAGGAAAAGCCUCUAAGCAUCAGGUAACAUCAAAUCGUACCCCAAACCGACACAGGUGGUCAGGUAGAGAAUACCAAGGCGCUUGAGAGAACUCGGGUGAAGGAACUAGGCAAAAUGGUGCCGUAACUUCGGGAGAAGGCACGCUGAUAUGUAGGUGAAGCCCCUGCGGGUGGAGCUGAAAUCAGUCGAAGAUACCAGCUGGCUGCAACUGUUUAUUAAAAACACAGCACUGUGCAAACACGAAAGUGGACGUAUACGGUGUGACGCCUGCCCGGUGCCGGAAGGUUAAUUGAUGGGGUUAGCGGCAACGCGAAGCUCUUGAUCGAAGCCCCGGUAAACGGCGGCCGUAACUAUAACGGUCCUAAGGUAGCGAAAUUCCUUGUCGGGUAAGUUCCGACCUGCACGAAUGGCGUAAUGAUGGCCAGGCUGUCUCCACCCGAGACUCAGUGAAAUUGAACUCGCUGUGAAGAUGCAGUGUACCCGCGGCAAGACGGAAAGACCCCGUGAACCUUUACUAUAGCUUGACACUGAACACUGGUCCUUGAUGUGUAGGAUAGGUGGGAGGCUUUGAAGCGUGGACGCCAGUCUGCGUGGAGCCAUCCUUGAAAUACCACCCUUUAAUGGCUGGUGUUCUAACGUAGACCCGUAAUCCGGGUUGCGGACAGUGUCUGGUGGGUAGUUUGACUGGGGCGGUCUCCUCCCAAAGAGUAACGGAGGAGCACGAAGGUUAGCUAAUCCUGGUCGGACAUCAGGAGGUUAGUGCAAUGGCAUAAGCUAGCUUGACUGCGAGAGUGACGGCUCGAGCAGGUGCGAAAGCAGGUCAUAGUGAUCCGGUGGUUCUGAAUGGAAGGGCCAUCGCUCAACGGAUAAAAGGUACUCCGGGGAUAACAGGCUGAUACCGCCCAAGAGUUCAUAUCGACGGCGGUGUUUGGCACCUCGAUGUCGGCUCAUCACAUCCUGGGGCUGAAGUAGGUCCCAAGGGUAUGGCUGUUCGCCAUUUAAAGUGGUACGCGAGCUGGGUUUAGAACGUCGUGAGACAGUUCGGUCCCUAUCUGCCGUGGGCGCUGGAGAAUUGAGGGGGGCUGCUCCUAGUACGAGAGGACCGGAGUGGACGCAUCACUGGUGUUCGGGUUGUCAUGCCAAUGGCACUGCCCGGUAGCUAAAUGCGGAAGAGAUAAGUGCUGAAAGCAUCUAAGCACGAAACUUGCCCCGAGAUGAGUUCUCCCUGAGACUUAAAGUCUCCUGAAGGAACGUUGAAGACGACGACGUUGAUAGGUCGGGUGUGUAAGCGCAGCGAUGCGUUGAGCUAACCGAUACUAAUGAACCGUGAGGCUUAACCUU
This 2903-nucleotide ribosomal RNA is filed under the name Enterobacter cloacae. RNAcentral's name for it is "23S ribosomal RNA". It matches the Rfam family "Bacterial large subunit ribosomal RNA". The record is from RNAcentral. Lineage: Bacteria; Pseudomonadati; Pseudomonadota; Gammaproteobacteria; Enterobacterales; Enterobacteriaceae.